RNAcentral lists this ribosomal RNA (776 nucleotides) under uncultured Neocallimastigales. RNAcentral describes it as "partial large subunit ribosomal RNA". It matches the Rfam family "Eukaryotic large subunit ribosomal RNA", at positions 24 to 616 of the family's 3401-position model. Lineage: Eukaryota; Fungi; Neocallimastigomycota; Neocallimastigomycetes; Neocallimastigales. The record is from RNAcentral.
GUAGUCUCGCACAGAUGCAUAUCAAUAAGCGGAGGAAAAGAAACUAACAAGGAUUCCCUUAGUAACAGGCGAGUGAAGCGGGAAGAGCUCAAAUUUGAAAUCUUCAAGGUUUUACCUUGACGAAUUGUAGUUUAAAGAAGUGUUUUCUGUUGAAGUUUUGGUAAAAGUUCUUUGGAAUAGGACAUCAUAGAGGGUGAGAAUCCCGUAUUUGACCAUUAUUUUCAGCUGUGUGAUACACUUUCAAAGAGUCGGAUUGUUUGGGAAUGCAGUCCAAAAUGGGUGGUAAAUUUCAUCUAAAGCUAAAUAUUGGCGAGAGACCGAUAGCGAACAAGUACCGUGAGGGAAAGAUGAAAAGAACUUUGAAAAGAGAGUUAAACAGUACGUGAAAUUGUCAAAAGGGAAGCGUUUGACACCAGUGUUGUUUUCUCGAAAAUCAAUUAAAAAGAGUUAGAUUUUGUUGUGUAUUGACCUUAACAGCUUGCAUUUCAAUUUUCUUGCUUUUUUUAAUGCACUUUUCGUUUAACAAGUCAACAUCAGUUUCUUUUGUUGUAAAAAGGUCAUUGGAAGGUGGCUUUCUUUUCGGAGAAAGUGUUUAUAGCCUUUGACUCCUGCAAUCGGAGAGACUGAGGUCUGCAGCGUAGAUCCUUCGGGGUUAGAUACAUUUGUGCUAAGUUAUAGCUUUUUAUAGGACAACUUGUUGACUAUGAUUAGUCUUGUAGCUUACUCGCUUAUGCUAUUUUACCUACGCUUAGGAUGUUGAGCGCAUGUCUCUCUCU